RNAcentral lists this ribosomal RNA (916 nucleotides) under Staphylococcus felis. RNAcentral's name for it is "bacterial SSU rRNA". It matches the Rfam family "Bacterial small subunit ribosomal RNA", at positions 26 to 923 of the family's 1533-position model. The record is from RNAcentral. Lineage: Bacteria; Bacillati; Bacillota; Bacilli; Caryophanales; Staphylococcaceae.
AGGAUGAACGCUGGCGGCGUGCCUAAUACAUGCAAGUCGAGCGAACUGAAGAGGAGCUUGCUCCUUUGACGUUAGCGGCGGACGGGUGAGUAACACGUGGGUAACCUACCUAUAAGACUGGAAUAACUCCGGGAAACCGGGGCUAAUGCCGGAUAAUAUGUUGAACCGCAUGGUUCAACAGUGAAAGACGGUUUUGCUGUCACUUAUAGAUGGACCCGCGCCGCAUUAGCUAGUUGGUGAGGUAACGGCUCACCAAGGCGACGAUGCGUAGCCGACCUGAGAGGGUGAUCGGCCACACUGGAACUGAGACACGGUCCAGACUCCUACGGGAGGCAGCAGUAGGGAAUCUUCCGCAAUGGACGAAAGUCUGACGGAGCAACGCCGCGUGAGUGAUGAAGGUCUUCGGAUCGUAAAGCUCUGUUGUUAGGGAAGAACAAAUGUGUAAGUAACUGUGCACAUCUUGACGGUACCUAACCAGAAAGCCACGGCUAACUACGUGCCAGCAGCCGCGGUAAUACGUAGGUGGCAAGCGUUAUCCGGAAUUAUUGGGCGUAAAGCGCGCGUAGGCGGUUUUUUAAGUCUGAUGUGAAAGCCCACGGCUCAACCGUGGAGGGUCAUUGGAAACUGGAAAACUUGAGUGCAGAAGAGGAAAGUGGAAUUCCAUGUGUAGCGGUGAAAUGCGCAGAGAUAUGGAGGAACACCAGUGGCGAAGGCGGCUUUCUGGUCUGCAACUGACGCUGAUGUGCGAAAGCGUGGGGAUCAAACAGGAUUAGAUACCCUGGUAGUCCACGCCGUAAACGAUGAGUGCUAAGUGUUAGGGGGUUUCCGCCCCUUAGUGCUGCAGCUAACGCAUUAAGCACUCCGCCUGGGGAGUACGGUCGCAAGACUGAAACUCAAAGGAAUUGACGGGGACCCG